This 462-nucleotide ribosomal RNA is filed under the name uncultured soil bacterium. Its description in RNAcentral is "bacterial SSU rRNA". It matches the Rfam family "Bacterial small subunit ribosomal RNA", at positions 26 to 518 of the family's 1533-position model. The record is from RNAcentral.
AGCCUGAACGCUGGCGGCGUGGCUAAGACAUGCAAGUCGCACGGUGUAGCAAUACACAGUGGCGAACGGGAGAGUAAAGAAUCGCUAACGUACCCUGGACUCUGGGAUAGCUGCCCGAAGGGGCAGGUAAUACCAGAUUAUAUAACCUGGUGGCAUCAUCGGGUUCUCAAAGGUCCGCCGGUCUGGGAGCGGGCGAUUUCGAGUCAGCUAGUUGGUGAGGUAACGGCUCACCAAGGCGACGACGCGUAGCCGGACUGAGAGGUUGGCCGGCCUCAUUGGGACUGAGACACUGCCCAGACUCCUACGGGGGGCUGGCAGUAACGAAUCUUCCGCAAUGUACGAAAGUAUGACGGAGCGACGCCGCGUGGAGGACGAAGUUCUUCGGAAUGUAAACUCCUGUCAGGGUUAGAAAGUUCUGAUCAACCCAGAGGAAGCACGGCUAACUCUGUGCCAGCCAGCCGC